Long non-coding RNA from Athene cunicularia (burrowing owl), 1780 nucleotides. RefSeq lists it as uncharacterized. The record is from RefSeq and is a predicted model, not a curated record. The transcript is spliced from 2 exons. NCBI's taxonomy places the organism in Eukaryota, Metazoa, Chordata, Aves, Strigiformes, Strigidae.
CCAGUCCGGCACCGUGGGUGCUGUGGGAGAGGCGGCGGCGGCGGCUCCUGGCAGAAGGUAGGGCAGGGACCGCGCAGGGCUCAGCUAAAGGCGUCCCUCCGAUCCAGGGCGGGCGGCUGCCCCUCUGAGGCUCCAUAUGGCACCUUGAGUCUGCGUGUCAGUAAUGGCUUCCAUGAAACCAAAGCCCCAUCCUGUGUCACCACGGCUUUGAGCAGGUGGCAGAAUAAACCGGGUCUUAAUGGCCGGUCAGAAGCCUCGUUCACCGAGUUAACGACAGCCUAAUAACGCGCACUGAUUCCCUGAGCGUGGGUAAACCGUUAAUAAGGCUCACUGGAGGAGGCUAAUGACGCUGCGUACCUGGCAGCAUCAGCCUUUCAUGAAUUUGGGGGCUUCAAGAGUCUGGAAACCCAUGGAUGAUAGGCUGGCAGUAGUGACCAGCAUGGAAUAAUCAUCCCUAUAAUACAGUUAAGAGCAUAUAGAAGAGGAUCUGCAGGAUCCACGUCAUCUAUGUAGAGGAAUGAAGAGGCUCUGGACCUGGGCAUUUGGCUGACAGACCACUGCAGUAGUGAUGCUGUUGGUACGUGGGGCAUUCAAACAGGUUGUCUGUCAACAUGCUUUUGUGUCCCUAAUUGUGUACAUCCAAGUUUGGUCUUCACCUCUAGGAAACUGUGUCUGUGUACCUGUUGCUAUUUCUCUAUUGGGUCUGGCUCUUAACUCUAAGAUUUGUAGCUUGCAAUUUCCUUUCGCAGGCUCAGCCUUUCUGUGGUCCUUUCUAGUUUUGUCACCACUAAGAUCCCUGAUCUUGUUUAGGACUUCAGCCACUGUUGGCUCAAGAAUGUGGGGCUAUGUCCUGGAUCAGACAUAACAUUGUUGGAAGUGAAACAGUAGCUACGGAUACCAUCUGCUCAGGAUACUGUGUCAGUGCUAUCCCCUGGCUUUGCUAUUGCUAGCCAGAUUAGCUGAAGCAAUAGGAAAGUUAGCAAAGCAAAGCAACAGGGGCUGGGUUAUGUUUAUUAUACUCUGUUUUGGUCAAAAUAGCCAGUACCUUCUGAAUCUGACCAGCUCAAAACACAAGUGAAAGCUGAACAUGAAGCAAGCACCAGGCAAGGCUGGGGAAGUGUCUUCUGGUUAGUUACCCGAUCCUCUUUGACAUGCCCUGUUUCAGCAGCAAGAACAUAUGGCCCAGUGGGCAUACUCAAACCAGAAAACAUAAGUGCUAAGCCAGAAGAUCUCGACUAGUUUUAACAUCUCCUAAACCCCGAGGCAAGACCCCGAGGAAUACCUUGUGUGGGGCAGUGGGGUCACGCGCAGCUAGGAAGCCCCCCAGGACAGCGUAGGCUGCAGCUGUGGCCCCACUGCGUUGCUGUGGAGCAGCACUGAGCUGCUAAGAGCUGCUGAGCUGAGCUCAACAUUUAACCCCAGACAGUCCUCAGGGGUCCUGGCCCUCUCCCAGCCAUGGUGUCCUGCCAGGGUCGUGUAUCUGCUGCUCACCUGGCCACAGAGCACUCCCAGGCCAGAGGACAGCAAACUGCCCAGCCCCUGCAAGCUCGGCUGUUGCAAGGAGGACAGAGAUGGUCUCAUUCAAGGAGCUAUUACUGGUCAGUAAGCAUACUGCAGUGGCUGCUCCCUGCUUACUUACCCUGCAUCUGCUCAUGAAAAACACCACUGAAACCAGUCUUGGGCCGUUAUCUUUGCCUGGGACUCCAAGACUGGGAUUUGGGUUUUUUUGUUAAAGUAGGUUUUCUAAAGGGGCAGAUAAUUGUUGUUCAUUCUUGAAUUU